AGUCGAACGAUGAACCACUUCGGUGGGGAUUAGUGGCGAACGGGUGAGUAACACGUGGGCAAUCUGCCCUGCACUCUGGGACAAGCCCUGGAAACGGGGUCUAAUACCGGAUACUGAUCCGUCUGGGCAUCCAGACGGUUCGAAAGCUCCGGCGGUGCAGGAUGAGCCCGCGGCCUAUCAGCUUGUUGGUGAGGUAGUGGCUCACCAAGGCGACGACGGGUAGCCGGCCUGAGAGGGCGACCGGCCACACUGGGACUGAGACACGGCCCAGACUCCUACGGGAGGCAGCAGUGGGGAAUAUUGCACAAUGGGCGAAAGCCUGAUGCAGCGACGCCGCGUGAGGGAUGACGGCCUUCGGGUUGUAAACCUCUUUCAGCAGGGAAGAAGCGAAAGUGACGGUACCUGCAGAAGAAGCGCCGGCUAACUACGUGC
Molecule: ribosomal RNA, 432 nt
Filed under: bacterium S4A-222-16S
Lineage: Bacteria
Description: bacterial SSU rRNA
Rfam family: Bacterial small subunit ribosomal RNA
Source: RNAcentral